This 333-nucleotide ribosomal RNA is filed under the name uncultured bacterium. RNAcentral describes it as "bacterial SSU rRNA". It matches the Rfam family "Bacterial small subunit ribosomal RNA", at positions 28 to 359 of the family's 1533-position model. The record is from RNAcentral.
AUUGAGCGCUGGCGGAAUGCUUUACACAUGCAAGUCGAGCGGCAGCGCGGGGGCGAACCCUCGCGGCGAGCGGCGAACGGGUGAGUAAUACAUCGGAACACGUCCAGUUGUGGGGGAGUAGCCCGGCGAAAGCCGGAUUAAUACCGCAUGAGCUCUGGCGAGGAAAGCGGGGGACCCGUAAGGGCCUCGCGCGACUGGGUUGGCCGAUGUCCGAUUAGCUAGUUGGUGGGGUAAAGGCNCACCAAGGCGAUGAUCGGUAGCUGGUCUGAGAGGAUGAUCAGCCACACUGGGACUGAGACACGGCCCAGACUCCUACGGGAGGCAGCAGUGGGG